GGCCGCAAGGUUAAAACUCAAAUGAAUUGACGGGGGCCCGCACAAGCGGUGGAGCAUGUGGUUUAAUUCGAUGCAACGCGAAGAACCUUACCUGGUCUUGACAUCCACAGAACUUUCCAGAGAUGGACUGGUGCCUUCGGGAACUGUGAGACAGGUGCUGCAUGGCUGUCGUCAGCUCGUGUUGUGAAAUGUUGGGUUAAGUCCCGCAACGAGCGCAACCCUUAUCCUUUGUUGCCAGCGGUCCGGCCGGGAACUCA
RNAcentral lists this ribosomal RNA (257 nucleotides) under Salmonella enterica subsp. enterica serovar Indiana. Its description in RNAcentral is "partial 16S ribosomal RNA". It matches the Rfam family "Bacterial small subunit ribosomal RNA", at positions 884 to 1141 of the family's 1533-position model. Lineage: Bacteria; Pseudomonadati; Pseudomonadota; Gammaproteobacteria; Enterobacterales; Enterobacteriaceae. The record is from RNAcentral.